UCACGACAAGUCGAUGGGGUUACUGACAUGAAGAAACUGAGGCUCAAAAUGUUGAAUGACCCUGAGAGUCAUGCAGCAGCAGAGCCAAAGUUUGAAGCAAAAUUGUGACUUAGGUUUUCCUCACCUGGAACAAAAUUGCCUUCCAAAGCCUGAGGUCUGUCCAAUCCCCCAGGGUGCCCCUUGGAGGUCAAGAGGGAGAAAUCCAUCCCAGAGUGUGAGAGAGCUGCUGCGCUGGACAGUUGGCUGGUUACAAAAAUCUAGUCUCAGAAACUCCCACCACAUCCCGAUGCGCCGACGAUUGGCAGGCUUCUUUUGUGUGAACUUUGUUCAUUGCAGGUUUUCAUUUUCAGUGAUGUCCCUGACAGCUUUAGUGAGAUGAUUGUAGGGUAGAAGACUGUAACCUUUAAAGGUUUGGUAAAAUCUCUGCAAGUGGGAGGUCUGUCAUCCUCCGGGGCGUGUUGAAGUGCCUGCUUGUAAAUGUUUCUUUGCAAACGCUGGUGCCUGAGCACUCCAGGUGAGGAAAACCUAAGUCAGACAAUGGCUGCGGUGCACAGGGAGGGAAAUCAGCAGAGAUGAUGAUGUAAGAGUGCAGGACUUGGGCUCCAUGGAACAUCAGUGGGGAAGAGAGACGAGCCAAGGAUACGUCCCGGGUUUGGGGCAUCUGGAUGAGUGGGAGCCUGGAAAUGAGGAGGAUCCAUUCAGGGGCCGAAGAACCAAGAAGACAAUUCUGCAUCCACGCGGAAGCUCCUUACAGAAACCUGAAAAUGAAUUCUCUACCCGGCCACCUCAGUGUGCCUCUAAGGUUGUGACUGUAGUCCCUGGGUCUGCGGCCAACAUUCUGGCCAGAGGAGUUUCCUUUUGUGUCCCUGGAGAUCUAAUUCAGAAUCUGGAUUUGUCUUCCUGCUCUUUGCCUCCCUUUUCUCUAUUCCUAGGGGACUCAAAGGACAUUUAGGCUGACACUUGCCUGAACUCCUCCUUCCUUUAACUUUUUCCUUUACUCUUUACUUUUGAGCACUGGCCUGGGCCUCAUGCACACCCCCGGGGAUGCAGAGCCCCACCAGGUACUGUCCCUGCCUUAAGAUCCUCACAGCCCAGGGGCAAGUCUGCAGAUGCAAGUGACUCCAGGAGCAGGAGAAGGACUAAAGGGAUCAGAGGGAAGCAGGGAAGUGCGUGGCUGUCCCACCAGACAGGCAGGGAGGCAUCCCAGUGGAGGCUGGGUGAAUGGGGGCCCGGAAGGUGAGCACAGGCUUUCCAGGCAGAGCAAGUGAGGAAGGAAGGUGCCCUGGGCAGAGGGCAGCCAUGUUUCUCCUGUGCCAAGGCAGGGAGAUGGGGAAAAAAGCUGCAUAUUUGAACAUAGAUAGGGGAGUCCGUGUGACUGGACAAUAGAGUGAAUGCAGAAGAGCAGAAAGAAAAGUGGCU
This 1419-nucleotide long non-coding RNA is filed under the name Homo sapiens (human). RNAcentral's name for it is "HSALNT0098311". Lineage: Eukaryota; Metazoa; Chordata; Mammalia; Primates; Hominidae. The record is from RNAcentral.